Molecule: long non-coding RNA, 225 nt
Filed under: Nicotiana benthamiana
Lineage: Eukaryota; Viridiplantae; Streptophyta; Magnoliopsida; Solanales; Solanaceae
Description: long non-coding RNA (NBEN_LNC042148)
Source: RNAcentral
UGGGUCUCAAAGUUUUAAAUGCCACUGUUUGUAUAUACCAAUAUCCCAAUCCAAAAUAAAAAAAAAUGCAAGCGCAAAGAACUAUGAAUAACACUUCUUUUUUGGUUUCGAGAUAUGGAUUUUUGUUGCUGAAGUGUAUAGACUGUAGACUAUAAUGAGGGAAAAAGACGAGUGUAAAUUUGGGUAUGGAAAGGAGGAGUCGAUAGGAGAAUGACUAUUGGGAAG